RNAcentral lists this ribosomal RNA (274 nucleotides) under uncultured bacterium. RNAcentral describes it as "partial 16S ribosomal RNA". It matches the Rfam family "Bacterial small subunit ribosomal RNA", at positions 523 to 796 of the family's 1533-position model. The record is from RNAcentral.
AGACGGAGGGUGUAAGCAUUAAUCGGAUUUAUUGGGCGUAAAGAGCGCGUAGGUGGUUAUAUAAGUCAUCCAAGAAAGCCCCUAGCUCAACUAGGGGAGAUGGGAUGAAACUGUAUGACUAGAGCAUAAGCGGGGGAAAUGGAAUUCCACAUGUAGCGGUGAAAUGUGUAGAUAUGUGGACGAACACCGGUGGCGAAGGCGGUUUUCCAGCAUUAUGCUGACACUGAGGUGCGAAAGCAAGGGGAGCAAACAGGAUUAGAUACCCCGGUAGUCC